GUUCAUCCUGAUAAUAAGGGUAAGGAUAGAGCUAACACUUAACUGGGUGCUCAAUAUGUGCCAGGUGACCUAGGACUCAGAUCUGUAAGUUUCUCUGCCUAUUAUAAAGAUUGUCCUCCUGGUGCUGCUUUGAAGGAACAUUACUAUCACUAUUACUCUGAGGCUUAAGGAAUGCUUUAUUUGCAAGCUAAUGGUUUUGCUGAUUAAACCACAAACUACUGAUAAGUGAAAGUGGACCUGUGU
This is a long non-coding RNA of Perognathus longimembris pacificus (Pacific pocket mouse), 243 nucleotides long. RefSeq lists it as uncharacterized. NCBI's taxonomy places the organism in Eukaryota, Metazoa, Chordata, Mammalia, Rodentia, Heteromyidae. The transcript is spliced from 3 exons. The record is from RefSeq and is a predicted model, not a curated record.